GAUGAACGCUGGCGGCGUGCCUAAUACAUGCAAGUCGAACGAAACUUCUUUAUCACCGAGUGCUUGCACUCACCGAUAAAGAGUUGAGUGGCGAACGGGUGAGUAACACGUGGGCAACCUGCCCAAAAGAGGGGGAUAACACUUGGAAACAGGUGCUAAUACCGCAUAACCAUAGUUACCGCAUGGUAACUAUGUAAAAGGUGGCUAUACUACCGCCUUUGGAUGGGCCCGCGGCGCAUUAGCUAGUUGGUAGGGUAAAGGCUUACCAAGGCAAUGAUGCGUAGCCGAAUUGAGAGGUUGAUCGGCCACAUUGGGACUGAGACACGGCCCAAACUCCUACGGGAGGCAGCAGUAGGGAAUCUUCCACAAAGGGCGAAAGCCUGAUGGAGCAACGCCGCGUGGGUGAAGAAGGUCUUCGGAUCGUAAAACCCUGUUGUUAGAGAAGAAAGUGCGUGAGAGUAACUGUUCACGUUUCGACGGUAUCUAACCAGAAAGCCACGGCUAACUACGUG
RNAcentral lists this ribosomal RNA (512 nucleotides) under uncultured bacterium. RNAcentral's name for it is "partial 16S ribosomal RNA". It matches the Rfam family "Bacterial small subunit ribosomal RNA", at positions 28 to 507 of the family's 1533-position model. The record is from RNAcentral.